Molecule: unclassified non-coding RNA, 164 nt
Filed under: soil metagenome
Description: partial internal transcribed spacer 1
Source: RNAcentral
CACAAUAUGAAGGCGGGCUGGAACCUCUCGGGGUUACAGCCUUGCUGAAUUAUUCACCCUUGUCUUUUGCGUACUUCUUGUUUCCUUGGUGGGUUCGCCCACCACUAGGACAAACAUAAACCUAUUUGUAAUUGCAAUCAGCGUCAGUAACAAAUUAAUAAUUA